This is a long non-coding RNA of Nyctereutes procyonoides (raccoon dog), 2431 nucleotides long. RefSeq lists it as uncharacterized. NCBI's taxonomy places the organism in Eukaryota, Metazoa, Chordata, Mammalia, Carnivora, Canidae. The record is from RefSeq and is a predicted model, not a curated record. The transcript is spliced from 3 exons.
UGGGGGAAGACCACUUACAACCUGACUCUCUCCUAGGUCAAUGAGCCGGGGCAGAGAGUCUCCCCAGGACACGGUUUCCUUGCAGAAUAAUGGAAGUUUAGCCACCAGACAGAAAGUCAAGACAGGGACUUCUGGUCUACCCGGGAGACUAAGGUGGUUGACGGCGUUUCAUUGAUUCUCUGGAGGACCCUUCACAUGUGCGCUCCCGAUGGAGAAUCCCAUCUAACACACAGGACAUGGGGUUGGUGUGAACCCAACGCACGGAGGCCAACACCUGUGCCAUCUGUGCUCAUGGAGAGCUGGAGAAUCCGGUGAGUGUGUGUGCUUCCUUGUGAGUGAGUGCUGUGGGCAUACAUAUGAGCUACUCCAUGCAAAACCAGGUCCCGCACGUUGACCUUGCCCAACAGGUUGUUUGUGGGGGGCUUGAGAGGGGUCUCUCCACCAUGCUAGUCAUGGGCAUCAUUGUCUGUGGUGGAGCCUCCAAAAUGGAGGUUGAAAUGAGCAGUUAGAGCGUGUCCCUGGGUGCACAUAGCACUCGGGCCCUGGAGAGAGGGUACCAUGCACCCGGGCCACCCGGAGCCCAAUGGGUUCCGAGCCAUAGCUGGGCUGAGAACACCUCAGUCACCCUCCAGUGGCUCCGCUGGACGUGCACCAUCGAUGAGCUGUAGAUAAGAUGCAUAUAGAGAGAGUUGCUUGUUCUCCACUAGAGCCUUGAGAGGAAAAUACUCUUCUGGCUACUUUCUUAAAAAAUAAGAACAUGGAGAUGCAGAAGAGCGCGGAUACGCAUUCACAUAGCACCAGGGGCAGGAUGAAGAAACGACUGGCAUGCCAGGGCUAAGAGUCCAUUGAGAAACAUGCUCGCCGUCUGUUAGAAAACCCGUAAGGCUCGGAAGUUUAGCAGCAGAAGGACCUUCCUUCUGGGAUGGAAACGGCCUUGCCCAUAAGUGCUCGGAAGCACCCAGGGGUGAGCUCAUGGGAGUCUAUGCAGCAGCCACAGCCGUCCCAUCACUGGAUUGUGACUUCCUUCUGGGAAGUCAGACUCCCGGGGUUGGUAGUCCCAGCUGUGGUAGCACACGCACGUGAUCACAUGUGGUCUCCCUGACCAGACCCUGCAAAACCCCAGAGAUCUCCAGGGCCUAAGGUGACACGGCAAGCAGGGAGGUGGCCGGCUUACGUUGGAGUCUCAAGAUCUUCUGUGCAUUUCCAGGCGUAGCAGUUCUAAGGAAUAAAAAGGCCGUUUCCAAAAAAUCAUUUUAUGAAGGGAGGCAUUCCCCUUGUCCAUGAAGGUUCUCCAACCUUGACAUUUGAAUGAGGUCCAUGCAUGUCUACGUAGAAGUGGCGCCAAAAAGAGCCUCAAGAAAUAAGUACAGCUACCCAGUGAUGGGUAACGUGUGUGUCUACGUGUGCACCUGCUCCAGGAGGAGCGUGCAGAGUUUCAGUUCGAAAGAGAUCUUUGAAUCCAGAGGUGUAAAGACUGGGGGAGACAAUGGGUAAAAGGACGGGAUGCUGCUGCCCCACGCCGUGCCUCUGCCUCUCUCGAGAGGACAUUCGUUCGGAGCAUGCUCUGGUCCAGAUGGGAUCUCUGUGCAGCUCUGAAUGUCUUUUCCUCAAAGAAGGACGGUCUGGUGAACACGGUCUAGUGCACACACCCGCAGCAGCCACGCUCAGGGAGCCGGGGAGAGGUCAGCAAGUGUGAUGAGCGGCAGCAGCAGCAGCAGCAGGACCGGGGCUGUUCCUCACCUCUGAGCUCCUCUGUGGAGCUGAUUAGGGGCCACCGUGCAUCGUGAACACGACUGAUGCAUGCAGGCAGCCCAGUCUAUUACCCUCCAGUCGCCGCAUCCCGUGUCGGGCGUUGGCGGUAACUGUGCCUGGCGUGCCCUGUUGCCUCUUGUCAGGCUCCGCUACGCCUCGCUCAGUGUUUUCCAGGAGGCUGGCUCCCUCAGGGAUGUUGCUCCUUCCCGUGGCAGAUGGCUCGUGACUUAAAUCCUGUCUGCGGUUUCCCACCAGGAUGACAGGUGGUCUGACCUAGAAGGGACUCUGGGGACCUGCGUGUUCAGACUGUGAAAACCAAGUCUUGGUGGUCCCAUGGUGUAUUUGGGUGACGGGCACACAUCUGAGCACAUGCUCCUCCAAUUAUGUCUCAAUUAGUUAGGGUUGCCUUGAUGCACCUGCCUGAUGCCUGGCGUCCUUAGCUGACAUGUGUGCUUACGUGGGUAUAAGACACACGUCCGUACAUACGUGCAUUGAUGUCCUCGGCCCCACAUGCACGUACCGCACCACAUGCAUACAGGCACACAUGUACCAACACACGGCACAUACUGCUCCCUAUACACAAUUCGCCAUCACCGAAUUCGCAAUAUCAAUGAUACAAAACUAUCCCCCUGACAGCUGCCAUCCGAUAGUUUGUUCUCCUUUGUUUAGACAUAGUAGC